This 1469-nucleotide ribosomal RNA is filed under the name metagenome. Its description in RNAcentral is "bacterial SSU rRNA". It matches the Rfam family "Bacterial small subunit ribosomal RNA". The record is from RNAcentral.
AGAGUUUGAUCCUGGCUCAGGACGAACGCUGGCGGCACGCUUAACACAUGCAAGUCGAACGAGAGAAGAGGAGCUUGCUUUUCUGAUCUAGUGGCGGACGGGUGAGUAACACGUGAGCAAUCUGCCUUUCAGAGGGGGAUACCGAUUGGAAACGAUCGUUAAUACCGCAUAACAUAAUUGAACCGCAUGAUUUGAUUAUCAAAGAUUUAUCGCUGAAAGAUGAGCUCGCGUCUGAUUAGCUAGUUGGUAAGGUAACGGCUUACCAAGGCGACGAUCAGUAGCCGGACUGAGAGGUUGAUCGGCCACAUUGGGACUGAGACACGGCCCAGACUCCUACGGGAGGCAGCAGUGGGGAAUAUUGCACAAUGGAGGAAACUCUGAUGCAGCGAUGCCGCGUAGGGAAGAAGGUUUUAGGAUUGUAAACCUCUGUCUUCAGGGACGAAAAAAGACGGUACCUGAGGAGGAAGCUCCGGCUAACUACGUGCCAGCAGCCGCGGUAAUACGUAGGGAGCGAGCGUUGUCCGGAAUUACUGGGUGUAAAGGGAGCGUAGGCGGGAUCGCAAGUCAGAUGUGAAAACUAUGGGCUUAACCCAUAAACUGCAUUUGAAACUGUGGUUCUUGAGUGAAGUAGAGGUAAGCGGAAUUCCUAGUGUAGCGGUGAAAUGCGUAGAUAUUAGGAGGAACAUCAGUGGCGAAGGCGGCUUACUGGGCUUUAACUGACGCUGAGGCUCGAAAGCGUGGGGAGCAAACAGGAUUAGAUACCCUGGUAGUCCACGCCGUAAACGAUGAUUACUAGGUGUGGGGGGACUGACCCCUUCCGUGCCGCAGCAAACGCAAUAAGUAAUCCACCUGGGGAGUACGACCGCAAGGUUGAAACUCAAAGGAAUUGACGGGGGCCCGCACAAGCAGUGGAGUAUGUGGAUUAAUUCGAAGCAACGCGAAGAACCUUACCAGGUCUUGACAUCGUAUGCAUAGCUCAGAGAUGAGUGAAAUCUCUUCGGAGACAUAUAGACAGGUGGUGCAUGGUUGUCGUCAGCUCGUGUCGUGAGAUGUUGGGUUAAGUCCCGCAACGAGCGCAACCCUUACUGUUAGUUGCUACGCAAGAGCACUCUAGCAGGACUGCCGUUGACAAAACGGAGGAAGGUGGGGAUGACGUCAAAUCAUCAUGCCCCUUAUGACCUGGGCCUCACACGUACUACAAUGGCUGUCAACAGAGGGAAGCAAAGCCGCGAGGUGGAGCGAACCCCUAAAAGCAGUCUUAGUUCGGAUUGUAGGCUGCAACCCGCCUACAUGAAGUCGGAAUUGCUAGUAAUCGCAGAUCAGCAUGCUGCGGUGAAUACGUUCCCGGGCCUUGUACACACCGCCCGUCACGCCAUGGGAGUCGGUAACACCCGAAGCCUGUAGUCUAACCGCAAGGAGGACGCAGUCGAAGGUGGGAUUGAUGACUGGGGUGAAGUCGUAACAAGGUA